CCUACGGGGGGCAGCAGUGAGGAAUAUUGGUCAAUGGACGAGAGUCUGAACCAGCCAAGUAGCGUGAAGGAUGACUGCCCUAUGGGUUGUAAACUUCUUUUAUAUGGGAAUAAAAUGUUCCACGUGUGGGAUUUUGUAUGUACCAUAUGAAUAAGGAUCGGCUAACUCCGUGCCAGGAGCCGCGGUAAUACGGAGGAUCCGAGCGUUAUCCGGAUUUAUUUGGGUUAAAGGGAGGGUAGGGGGAUGGUUAAGUCAGUUGUGAAAGUUUGCGGCUUAACCGUAAAAUUGCAGUUGAAACUGGCAGUCUUGAGUACAGUAGAGGUAGGCGGAAUGCGUGGUGUAGCGGUGAAAUGCUUAGAUAUCACGAAGAACUCCGAUUGCGAAGGCAGUUCACUGGACUGCAACUGACACUGAGGCUCGAAAGUGUGGGUAUCAAACAGGAUUAGAUACCCGUGUAGUC
Molecule: ribosomal RNA, 460 nt
Filed under: uncultured bacterium
Lineage: Bacteria
Description: partial 16S ribosomal RNA
Rfam family: Bacterial small subunit ribosomal RNA
Source: RNAcentral